RNAcentral lists this ribosomal RNA (389 nucleotides) under uncultured bacterium. Its description in RNAcentral is "partial 16S ribosomal RNA". It matches the Rfam family "Bacterial small subunit ribosomal RNA", at positions 523 to 918 of the family's 1533-position model. The record is from RNAcentral.
AUACGUAGGGGACAAGCGUUGUCCGGAAUGACUGGGCGUAAAGGGCGCGUAGGCGGUCUAUUAAGUCUGAUGUGAAAGGUACCGGCUCAACCGGUGAAGUGCAUUGGAAACUGGUAGACUUGAGUAUUGGAGAGGCAAGUGGAAUUCCUAGUGUAGCGGUGAAAUGCGUAGAUAUUAGGAGGAACACCAGUGGCGAAGGCGGCUUGCUGGACAAAUUCUGACGCUGAGGUGCGAAAGCGUGGGGAGCGAACAGGAUUAGAUACCCUGGUAGUCCACGCCGUAAACGAUGAAUGCUAGGUGUUGGGGAAACUCAGUGCCGCAGUUAACACAAUAAGCAUUCCGCCUGGGGAGUACGACCGCAAGGUUGAAACUCAAAUGAAUUGACGGGG